RNAcentral lists this unclassified non-coding RNA (231 nucleotides) under plant metagenome. RNAcentral describes it as "partial contains small subunit ribosomal RNA, internal transcribed spacer 1, and 5.8S ribosomal RNA". The stretch from base 183 to 231 matches the Rfam family "5.8S ribosomal RNA", at positions 1 to 49 of the family's 154-position model. The record is from RNAcentral.
UUUCCGUAGGUGAACCUGCGGAAGGAUCAUUCAUAAUAAAGUGUUUUAUGGCACUUUUUAAAAAUCCAUAUCCACCUUGUGUGCAAUGUUAGAUCUCGUCAAUCUUGGCGAGAUUUUUAUACAUCAACUCAUUCUUUAACUAAUUUGUCUGAAAAAUAUUAUGAAUACUUAAUUCAAAAUACAACUUUCAACAACGGAUCCCUUGGCUCUCACAUCGAUGAAGAACGCAGC